RNAcentral lists this small RNA (78 nucleotides) under Flavobacterium anhuiense. RNAcentral describes it as "Flavo-1 RNA". It matches the Rfam family "Flavo-1 RNA". The record is from RNAcentral. Lineage: Bacteria; Pseudomonadati; Bacteroidota; Flavobacteriia; Flavobacteriales; Flavobacteriaceae.
CCAUAGCCCUGAUAGAAGUGGAAAUCCUUUUGUGCCGGGGUUCGGCACAAAAGAUUGUAACGGAUAGCAGGAAACAGC